This 416-nucleotide ribosomal RNA is filed under the name uncultured microorganism. RNAcentral describes it as "bacterial SSU rRNA". It matches the Rfam family "Archaeal small subunit ribosomal RNA", at positions 330 to 745 of the family's 1478-position model. The record is from RNAcentral.
GUGCAGCAGGCGCGAAACCUCACACUGUGCGAAAGCACGAUGAGGGAAUCCCAAGUGCUUGCACGUAAGUGUAAGCUGUUUCUCUGUCUAAAACGCAGAGAGAGAGUAAGGGCUGGGUAAGACGGGUGCCAGCCGCCGCGGUAAUACCUGCAGCUCAAGUGGUGACCGUUAUUAUUGGGCCUAAAACGUCCGUAGCCGGUUUAAUAAAUGCCUGGGUAAAUUGUGUAGCUUAACUAUACGAAUUCCGGGUAGACUGUUAAACUUGAGACCGGGAGAAGUUAGAGGUACUCCUGGGGUAGAGGUGAAAUUCUGUAAUCCUAGGGGGACCACCAGUGGCGAAGGCGUCUAACUAGAACGGGUCUGACGGUGAGGGACGAAGCCCUGGGGCGCAAACGGGGAUUAGAUACCCCUGUAGU